CAGUAGCCACGGUAAUACGUAGGUGGCAAGCGUUGUCCGGAUUUAUUGGGCGUAAAGCGAGCGCAGGCGGUCAAUUAAGUCUGAUGUGAAAGCCCCCGGCUCAACCGGGGAGGGUCAUUGGAAACUGGUUGACUUGAGUGCAGAAGAGGAGAGUGGAAUUCCAUGUGUAGCGGUGAAAUGCGUAGAUAUAUGGAGGAACACCAGUGGCGAAGGCGACUCUCUGGUCUGUAACUGACGCUGAGGCUCGAAAGCGUGGGUAGCAAACAGGAUUAGAUACCCCUGUAGUCCCUGUCUCUUAUAC
Molecule: ribosomal RNA, 301 nt
Filed under: uncultured bacterium
Lineage: Bacteria
Description: partial 16S ribosomal RNA
Rfam family: Bacterial small subunit ribosomal RNA
Source: RNAcentral